RNAcentral lists this ribosomal RNA (497 nucleotides) under uncultured bacterium. RNAcentral's name for it is "partial 16S ribosomal RNA". It matches the Rfam family "Bacterial small subunit ribosomal RNA", at positions 28 to 507 of the family's 1533-position model. The record is from RNAcentral.
GAUGAACGCUGGCGGCGUGCCUAAUACAUGCAAGUCGAGCGAACAGACGAGGAGCUUGCUGCUCGGACGUUAGCGGAGGACGGGUGAGUAACACGUGGAUAACCUACCUAUAAGACUGGGAUAACUACGGGAAACCGGAGCAAACACGGGAUAAUAUCUUGAACCGCAGGGGGCAAUAGUGAAAGACGGUUUUGGUGGCACUAAUAGAUGGAUCCGCGCCGCAUGAGCUAGUUGGUAAGGUAACGGCUUACCAAGGCAACGAUGCGUAGGCGACGGGAGAGGUGGGUCGCCCGCCCUGGAGCUGAGCCACCGUCCAGGGUCCUACGAGAUGCCGCAGUAUGCUAUCUUCCGCAGUAGGCGAAAACCUGGCGGAGCAGCGCCGCGUCAGUGAUAGAGACCUUCCGAUCGUAAUACUCUGUUAUUGGUUAAAAACAAAUGUGUAAGUUGCUGUACACGUCUUGACGGUACCUGGUCAAAAAGCACCGGCUAACUACGUG